GUUAAUUAAUUAUUUUGGUGCUCGAUUAGUCGCCAUUGUCGGAUGAUACUUUAGGUUUGCACUUCCCAUUGAGCUCUUGGCCUGGUUGCUGGCAUUGGUUCUUCUGUUGUGCUACUUACUGCAGUUUCGUUGUUGAUUUAGUAGGAAAGCUGAUGUUUAUCUACACAAGGGACUUGCUAUAUUGCGUACUCGGAUGCAACAUUUACUGGGCCAUCAAAAAGGAGGUUAAAACUCCCGCCAUCCCCCUCCUCUUUCUCUCUGUGUGUGUGCGCGUACGUGUAUGACUGAUUCCGUUAGCUGUCGCCAUCUGUUCAUUUGCAGGGGGGCUGGAUCCCAAGGGGCCGAGUUGUAGUCCUCCAGAGUUGUUGGGAAGAAGAUGGGUAAGCUCCUCUUGCUCUUCCACCCCUCUGCUGCGAGGAUCUAUAAUUUUGUGCACGCUACUGAUUUUGGAGACUUUUAGAGUAUUGAGCUACAUCACUAGCGAACGAGCUUGCAAAAUUUUCCAGUAUGCUGCACCUGUGAUUAGAGGUUCAGGCCGUACCAGUUUUUGGGUCUUUAUAUUGGUGAUUUCGUUCUGUUAGGAGGUCACUACCGAAGGAGUAAAUUACUAGCGAAAGAGCAGUUGAUGUAUGAACAUCAUUGGGUUCAAGGAGUAAAUUAUUAUGGUUUGGCUGAAAUGUCAGUUCAUUACUAUUACAUGAAAUCUAGAACCUAUGCUAAUGUGUCCAAUCUAGACAAGGAGGACAGAUAUUUAUUGGGGGGCCUGAUUCUUAUGUAGUUUCUCUCUAUAUUGCAGAACUCCCUACUCUCAUUUGGUGCACCCCAGUAUGUAGUGUCAAUGAUUUCAAUGUCCCCAGGAAUCUCAAACCGUAUGUACAGUCAAUGAUUGCAAUGCCUCUAGGGAUAUCCCAAGAAAUAUUUCUUAGUUCCAAGUUCUGAAUACGCGUCAAUCCAGCAUCUAUUUUUGACCCUGUAGAUGAAUUUAUCCCUGGAUGUUUAUGCCCGGAAGGAGGAGGCAUACCAAUGAUAGUUUGAAUCAAACUAAUAGAGGACGCCACCAUCGAUUAUGGUGUCGAGCGACUAAAAUGUAAUGAACUGGUAGUGCGACUGUUGACCUCCUUGAAACUAAUCACGUUCUUCGCUCCCGAACUCACGCAGUAGACAAGCAACUCUUCUUUUAUAACUGCAGACAAGUAUGACUCCAUACCCUUAAAUUCCCUGCACUAUUCUCAGGGUCGUUGAAUACAUAAUGUGACCCCACAUAAAUGGUUAGGAACUAGCUAAAUUUUAUUUAUCUUCGAUUCCCUACCAAAAUAUUCCUACUGCAUAUGUUAGGAAGGAUCUAUAAGAGUUGCUGCUAUGUAUAUGUUGUUGAAACCUCCAAUGUAGUUAAUCUCCGGCUCUUAUCAUCUUUCUUUGUUCAAGCCCUUGAGAGAAUGCUUUUAAAUUUAUGAACUGAAUAUAAUUCAAGAUUUAGUGAAAAUGCACAGUGAUCUUUACAACUUAUCUAUUUCUUUUUUCUGUGAGACUUCUUCGAAGAUAAUAAUUUGCCCAAAAAUAAUGUUCAGUAGUCAUGUUCCCCUUUUAAUCACUGUACUUUAGUAAUCUUGAUAUCUACAAAAUCUUUGAAACCUGACACCACUCAUGUAAUUGGCCAUUAUUUUUUGUCUUAAAGUCCCAUGUCUUAUCGCUAAUUGCAGCAUUGUUUUUCACCAGUGUGUCAUAGAUUCAGUUCUGCAUGAUGUGCUUGGUAUAGGAGAAAAUCAGUCUGCCAAUAUUAUUUUCCUGCUAUUUGACAUACACAUGUUUACAUAAACUGUACCAGUUGCAUGGAUGUACCAAUUGUUAUCCAGCAAGCUUUGAAAGUUAACACAAAGAAUCUGCACCCUAGGAUAAUUGUAAGGAAUGUGUGACCAAAACCACAUCUACCUUUUCUAAUGUUAUUAUCCUAGGUGCUCCGCAG
This 1963-nucleotide long non-coding RNA is filed under the name Triticum aestivum (bread wheat). Its description in RNAcentral is "long non-coding RNA (TAES_LNC019633)". Lineage: Eukaryota; Viridiplantae; Streptophyta; Magnoliopsida; Poales; Poaceae. The record is from RNAcentral.